RNAcentral lists this ribosomal RNA (477 nucleotides) under uncultured anaerobic ammonium-oxidizing bacterium. RNAcentral's name for it is "bacterial SSU rRNA". It matches the Rfam family "Bacterial small subunit ribosomal RNA", at positions 365 to 832 of the family's 1533-position model. The record is from RNAcentral.
UUCGCAAUGCCCGAAAGGGUGACGAAGCGACGCCGCGUGCGGGAGGAAGGCCUUCGGGUUGUAAACCGCUGUCGGGAGUUAAGAAAUGCAAGGAUGUUAAUAGCGUUCUUGCUUGACUAAGGCUCCGGAGAAAGCCACGGCUAACUCUGUGCCAGCAGCCGCGGUAAUACAGAGGCGGCAAGCGUUGUUCGGAAUUAUUGGGCGUAAAGAGCACGUAGGCGGCUGUGUAAGUCGGUUGUGAAAGCCUUCCGCUCAACGGAAGAACGGCAUCCGAUACUGCAUGGCUUGAGUGUGGGAGGGGAGAGUGGAACUUCUGGUGGAGCGGUGAAAUGCGUAGAUAUCAGAAGGAACACCGGCGGCGAAGGCGACUCUCUGGUCCAUAACUGACGCUGAGUGUGCGAAAGCUAGGGGAGCGAACGGGAUUAGAUACCCCGGUAGUCCUAGCUGUAAACGAUGGGCACUAAGUAGAGGGGUUUU